CCCUUAGAUGUUCUGGGCCGCACGCGUGCUACACUGAGUAAUUCAAUGGGUAAGGGAACGCUAGCGCAUUACCUAAUCUUGAAAUUUGCUCGUGAUGGGGAUCGACGGUUGCAAUUUUCCGUCGUGAACGAGGAAUACCUUGUAGGCGCAUGUCAUCAUCAUGCGCCGAAUACGUCCCUGCCCUUUGUACACACCGCCCGUCGCUCCUACCGAUUGAGUGAUCCGGUGAGGCUCUGGGACCUGGACGGAAAGAGCGUUUCGCUUGUUCUGUUUGGGAAACUUGGUCGAACCUUAUCAUUUAGAGGAAGGAGAAGUCGUAACA
This 322-nucleotide ribosomal RNA is filed under the name uncultured eukaryote. RNAcentral describes it as "partial 18S ribosomal RNA". It matches the Rfam family "Eukaryotic small subunit ribosomal RNA", at positions 1470 to 1796 of the family's 1831-position model. The record is from RNAcentral.